ACUCAAAUGAAUUGACGGGGACCCGCACAAGCGGUGGAGCAUGUGGAUUAAUUCGAUAAUAACCGAAGAACCUUACCCAGACUUGACAUCGAUUGAAAUCCCUGGAAACAGGGCCCUCUCCCACAAGGAGACAUGAAGACACUUGUUGCAUGGCUGUCGUCAGCUCGUGCCGUGAGGUGUACGGUUAAGUCCGCCAACGAGCGCAACCCUCGUCCUGUGUUACCAGCAUGAAAGAUGGGGACUCACAGGAGACCGCCGGUGUAAGCCGGAGGAAGGUGGGGAUGACGUCAAGUCAGCAUGGCAGUUACGUCUGGGGCUUCACACAUGCUACAAUGGACGAAACAAAGGGCUGCGAUACCGCGAGGUGGAGCUAAUCCCAAAAAUACGUCCCCAGUUCAGAUUGUAGUCUGCAACUCGACUACAUGAAGUCGGAAUCGCUAGUAAACGCAGGUCAGCUAUACUGCGUUGAAUACGUUCCCGGGUCUUGCACACACCGCCCGU
RNAcentral lists this ribosomal RNA (501 nucleotides) under uncultured bacterium. RNAcentral describes it as "partial 16S ribosomal RNA". It matches the Rfam family "Bacterial small subunit ribosomal RNA", at positions 899 to 1397 of the family's 1533-position model. The record is from RNAcentral.